RNAcentral lists this long non-coding RNA (2355 nucleotides) under Mus spretus (western wild mouse). RNAcentral's name for it is "SAP30 binding protein, opposite strand (ENSMSPG00010045013.1)". The record is from RNAcentral. Lineage: Eukaryota; Metazoa; Chordata; Mammalia; Rodentia; Muridae.
GUCCUCAGCAGUGAGAUGCCGAAAAGAACAGAGGCUGGCAUAAAUAAGCCAGCUUGCUGGGGUCAGUGGAAGAAGCCUUGCUGUCCCCAGGAAGCGGCUCCUACGCAAUGAAUACAGAGGCUCGACCAGAGACGGAGCCGACAGGCAGAAGGAAGAGCCUUCCAGACCCACGGAGCUGGAGAGACUGCCAUGUGAGCCAAGAGGAUCUAUGCACUGGGUAGCAGCAGGCUCUGGCUGACUGAAUGGCAGUGUAUAUACAGCCAGCCUCCAUCAGCCCUUUGGGGAACCCUGAGUCACGGCAUAUGUAGCCUCAGGCAUGUGGAUUCUGCCAGUCCACAUGCCAUGCUUUCUUCACAGCACUGGGAGCGUUAAGUACAGGGAAGGCAUUGGGCACAGGGCAGCAUGCAAGGGGCAGGGCAGGCAAAGCAGACCGCUCCUGGCUGGACACCAUAACCUGGCAGUGGGGAAGACUGGAGAAGUGGCCCCAAGCAAGCCCCUGAAGUCAUAAAGUCCUAAGGCCAUUUUAUUUAAUGAGCAGACUUGACUAAAAUAAUGGAAAGCUCACACCUGUAAUCCCAGCACUGAAGACGCAGAGAGAGUUGGGUUGCUGAGUUCAAGGCUUGUCUAGGUUGACCAAAGCAAAGCAAAGUACAGCAAACAAUCCAUUAUCUCCCUCCCGAAUGAAUUGUCACAGCAGCCCAGCCCCUACUGAAGGCUCCUGUCCCCCGUCCACAGGCCUGCUCUCUGCUACCCCUAACCUAGAAAGCACACCAUAUGCAAAGCUCAGACCUCGGCCUGAGAAAUGUCCUUGCACUUUUACCUUCCUGACAGGUGAGGAUCUUCCACAACACCUUGUGUGCUCUCAACAUGCCUGGCCACCACAGGUGCUGCAUACAGCCGUCACCUGCCACUGUUCUUCAGUGUGGAGCAGGGUUUACUGGCUACCUUCAGCUGCUAUGUAAUAGAGAACCCAGGUGCCAAACAUGUUUAGCACUAGCUAGUUCCAAUGUCUAGGCUCCCUGAAAACAUGAGAAAGAGGCAGAAGGUAGCUAAAAAGGGGUCUAAGAAAGAAAGGCUGAUUGAUGUGAGACUGGGAGAAGGCAGGGAGGGGCACUAAAGGUCACUUCUUGCUCUACACCUUUUCUGCCUGUCUAAGACAGGGUCUUGCCUUUUUAGCCCAGAACUUCUGAACUUACGGACCUUCCCGCCUCAGUCUCUGGAGUGCUAGAAAUCUAGGCCUGUACCACCGUAUCAUAUCCUGCAGCUUCUCGCAGGAUUCAACCUAAUGCUUUUAAAUCCUGAGACAAAGCCGGGGUGGGGAGCAGGACACGAUUAAGCUGGGUGUGGUAGCACUUGUCAGAAGUCCUACCUACACUAAUAGGCUAGUCACUUUAGCGCAGGAGUAAGGCCAGUCUGGGUAACUAGCAAAACCCUGCCUCAAGGCAAACCUACACAGAUAAAGAACAAAGCCGUAAGUAGCAAAAGACAGUUACUGGACAGCUAGCUCACUUACUUAUUCCAUAAAUAAUUCACUGAAGAUUUAUUCUGUCACAGACAACAGGCCAAGCAGCCAGGCUAAAAUUAAAAAAAAAUUGAUAGUGGGGAACCAUUUAGGUUUUAUGGUAAGCCCUUCUACUAAUGAUCUCAUUUAGUUCUCACAAUAGCCAGCAAAGUGUUCUGAACUACCAGGCCACACUACUGCUUCACUGUGGUGUCACCCCGGGAGCCCUCCUGGGAGCCUGAAAACAGCCACCAAACGGGGCUCUGUGUGGUGGCACACACCUGUAAUCACUGCACUUGGGAGGUGGAGGCAAGAGGAUCGAUCGAUCGAUCAGAAGUUCAAGGCCAAACUGAGCUGCACGAGGUCUUGUCUUAAUCCUCUCCCUACCCACCCACAAAGGCUCUCCAAGAGGCAUGAAAGGGACGUGUGGAGGACAGCCAUGUGACUUAGUGACGCCACAAAAAGUCAGUACUGUGUGAACAUUGCCACCGUGCUCUGUAGCCGGCUCCCACACAGGAGCGCUCUGGAGAAAUCCCAUGAGCAGUACAUUUCCUUCAGUUGUGUUCUGUGGGCCAGGCCGGGGCCCUUGCUCAGGCUCGCGGCCCAGCCAGGGAUGGAGACACUGCACUUAGCUGGAAAAUGGGCGGAAGUUGGUGGGGCCACAAUGGAUGCACUGCAGUUGCCUUGACUCUAGAAGCUCAGACAGGAAGGCUCGGCUCACCAACCAGAGCCAGAGGUGGCUCCUACAGGAAGGGUUAAAUAGGAGUCUGCCAAUAGAAAAGGCAGGGAAGGGGAAGGGGAAGGAAAUGGCUUCUUUCUCUUCUGAAAACCUGAUUAAAACAAAGCUGUAUGGC